Long non-coding RNA from Balaenoptera ricei (Rice's whale), 561 nucleotides. RefSeq lists it as uncharacterized. The record is from RefSeq and is a predicted model, not a curated record. NCBI's taxonomy places the organism in Eukaryota, Metazoa, Chordata, Mammalia, Artiodactyla, Balaenopteridae. The transcript has 3 exons.
ACUUGUUUAAUUUUCAUAGAUUUCUUCAACCUCAAUUCAAGAUUCUAAUGUCAAGCCUGCACAUGAGAUGCUGUAGCCGUCUACUCAAGCUGUUCAGUCACAGCCAAAGAGAUUACAUAUGUGAAUUUCCAGAAUGAGAGACCCAGAAAAUGCCAUGGUUUAGUUCUCCAACUCCAGGCUGCCUUAAACAUUAGCAAACUGAGUCUGACAGAGGGAAUGGUACACCUGGAAUCAUAUGACAAGUGAGUAACAGAACCUUUGUUAUAAUGACUCAGCAUAGAGGAAGUACUAGCGUCCUGGAUCAGGUUGCUAGUUUAUAUCCUUUCAUUGUUAUCAUACCAAUAUCAAGCACAGUCAUCAUGAUUUCUUCUUUAUGUCAAAAUCUUACCCCGUCUUCAGUAAGAAGACGUUUAGAGAGCAGGACUUCAGGCCUUUGUUUUGAUGAUAGUUGACUAGGGUGAUUUUGGUGGCAAAUGACAUAUCUGUGAGCUGACUGCAUGAGCACAAGCUCUUUGUAUGUAUCUGUGUAUAAUUAACACAAGUUUAUUGUACUACCUCUUA